ACGCGCACACACUCACGCAUACAUAUAUAUAUGUGUGUGUGUAUGUGUGUAUAU
This 54-nucleotide microRNA precursor is filed under the name Aedes aegypti (yellow fever mosquito). RNAcentral describes it as "partial AAEL017730-RA". Lineage: Eukaryota; Metazoa; Arthropoda; Insecta; Diptera; Culicidae. The record is from RNAcentral.